AGGAAAUAUCAUUAAUUUUUACUUUUCAAUUAAUAAGCCACAAAAACAGAUGUAAAAACUUGAUUAACGAGAUCAAAUACAAAAUUAACGUGUUAAGAAUAAUUGGUAAUUAAGAAAGUUAAUUAAAGCUAAGUUUAACCUGAAGGUUAGUACUCGGAGACAGACGUAGGAACAUGAAACACUUAAUAAUUAUUCAUGUUUUGUCAAGUUUAGUUUUGUAUUUUUGGAUUAAAAAUGCUUCUGGACAAAUUAUAGAGUUUCCAGGCGUGUAUUAUAAGAAAACUGAAUUCGACGUAAUCCACCGUGGCUCCUACAAUAUGACUGAUUGCGCUUCCGAGCUCAUUAAUUGUUGGGAAAUCGUCAGGCCAGAUAUAAUAUGUGACUAUGAAGAACGAUACUACGAGUCAGUUUGUGGAGCGCUGCGCUUGCACUGCAGUGGCAGAUAUGGAGCAGUCGAUGCCCUCUUCGGCGACAAGGCAUUUUCAUUAUCAUCAUUGGUAUGCGAAAGUCACCGUAUACACACGCGUCGUUACGUCAGUAUACCACGGAACGAUUCAAGAGCUAUAGCUAUCUUGCGCGCCAUCAAUUAUACAGAUGCGUUGGGCCCCGUCUAAAUAAUAUUUAAAUACAUGAAGAUCUUAGAAGAAGAUUUACGAGAAUCUAGAAUUUUAAUAAGUCUUGGCUUGAUAUGUGGAUUGAAUCAAAUAUAUUAACAAUCA
This is a long non-coding RNA of Pieris napi, 719 nucleotides long. RefSeq lists it as uncharacterized. Lineage: Eukaryota; Metazoa; Arthropoda; Insecta; Lepidoptera; Pieridae. The transcript is spliced from 4 exons. The record is from RefSeq and is a predicted model, not a curated record.